AACGAACGCUGGCGGCAUGCCUAACACAUGCAAGUCGAACGAGACCUUCGGGUCUAGUGGCGCACGGGUGCGUAACGCGUGGGAACCUGCCCUUAGGUUCGGAAUAACUCCCCGAAAGGGGUGCUAAUACCGGAUAAUGUCUUCGGACCAAAGAUUUAUCGCCUUUGGAUGGGCCCGCGUUGGAUUAGCUAGUUGGUAGGGUAAAAGCCUACCAAGGGGACGAUCCAUAGCUGGUCGGAGAGGAUGAUCAGCCACACUGGGACUGAGACACAGCCCAGACUCCUACGGGAGGCAGCAGUGGGGAAUAUUGGACAAGGGGCGAAAGCCUGAUCCAGCAGUGCCGCGUGAGUGAUGAAGGCCUUAGGGUUGUAAAGCUCUUUUACCCGGGAUGAUAAUGACAGUACCGGGAGAAUAAGCUCCGGCUAACUCCGUG
RNAcentral lists this ribosomal RNA (433 nucleotides) under uncultured bacterium. RNAcentral's name for it is "partial 16S ribosomal RNA". It matches the Rfam family "Bacterial small subunit ribosomal RNA", at positions 29 to 507 of the family's 1533-position model. The record is from RNAcentral.